Molecule: ribosomal RNA, 253 nt
Filed under: uncultured bacterium
Lineage: Bacteria
Description: partial 16S ribosomal RNA
Rfam family: Bacterial small subunit ribosomal RNA
Source: RNAcentral
GACGAAGGGGGCUAGCGUUGUUCGGAAUUACUGGGCGUAAAGCGAGUGUAGGUGGUUGUCAUAGUCAGGUGUGAAAGCCUUGAGCUCAACUCAAGAAAUGCACUUGAUACUGGGCGACUAGAGGACCGGAGAGGAUAGUGGAAUUCCUGGUGUAGCGGUGAAAUGCGCAGAUAUCAGGAGGAACACCGGUGGCGAAGGCGGGUCUCUGGGCCAAUACUGACGCUGAGGAGCGAAAGCGUGGGGAGCGAACAGG